Molecule: ribosomal RNA, 496 nt
Filed under: uncultured bacterium
Lineage: Bacteria
Description: partial 16S ribosomal RNA
Rfam family: Bacterial small subunit ribosomal RNA
Source: RNAcentral
GAUGAACGCUGGCGGCGUGCCUAAUACAUGCAAGUCGAGCGAACGGACCAGAAGCUUGCUUCUCUGAUGUUAGCGGCGGACGGGUGAGUAACACGUGGAUAACAUACCUAUCAGACUGGGAUAACUUCGGGAAACCGGAGCUAAUACCGGAUAAUAUUUUGAACCGCAUGGUUCAAAAGUGAAAGACGGUCUUGCUGUCACUUAUAGCUGGAACCGCGCUGCAUUAGCUAGUUGGUAAGGUAGCGGCUUACCAAGGCGACGAUGCAUAGGCGACCUGAGAGGGUGAUCGGCAGCACGUGCACAGGGACACGGUCCAGACUUCUACGGGAGGCAGCAGUAAGGAAUCUACCGCAGUGGGCAAAAGGGAGACGGAGCAACGCCGCGUGAGUGAGGAAAAUCAUCGGAGCGUAAGUCUCGGUUAUUAGUGAAGAGCAUAUGUGUAAGUAACGGUACACAUCUUGACGGUACCUAAUCAGAAAGCCAGGGCUAACUCGGG